Molecule: long non-coding RNA, 4949 nt
Filed under: Sus scrofa (pig)
Lineage: Eukaryota; Metazoa; Chordata; Mammalia; Artiodactyla; Suidae
Description: lncRNA (ENSSSCG00025067469.1)
Source: RNAcentral
GGGAAGUCAGGACCAGAUGAGAAGCCAGGCUGCUCUGCCCCCGGAGCUCUGCCGAGGCCCGGCCGAGGGGACGAUUCCCAGCCAGGGAGCAGGCAGCGGCAGGGACCCCAGACCCAGGCGCGGCAGGAAGGCCAGGAAUUCACAGCCCCUGGAGGAGCCUCAGGGCCUGGAGACCUUCUCCAGGGAAUUGCUCACUCUUCCUCGUGACCCCUUGUGAUAGACCCUUGAUGCUGCAAAGAACGCGGAGCCCAGAGCCCCCCAACCCCCGCACUGAGAAGCUGGAACAAACGGAGCCUUUAUCCAAACAGCCCAGGUGGCUGGGCCCUUAUCACCCCUGAGGCUGAGGUCUCCGCUCGGGCCUCGGGAGGGGGCAGGGAGAUGCAGAGCAAGGCUGGACUCACCCGAUGUUUCUGGACAGCGGUGGCCUGGGCACGAGGGUGGUGCCGCCUGUGCAGGCUGCUGGGAGGAUGAAGCAUGGGCUGGGCUGUGGUCACGCGGGGCCAGAGAAGUCAGCUGCGAGGUGCUGUGUAAGGACCAUGUCCCUGGCAUACACACCCAGCCCGCCCCUUGGCAGAUCCAGGCUGGCUCAGCCGGGAGGCCAGCGCCCAGCGCCGCUCCGUCUGGGUCUGCUCCACGUGCUUCUCGUGCGAGGUGGUUCAGCAGCCUGGCUGGGCCACAUUUCCUAGGAUGAUGGCAGAGGCACAGGAGGGAGAGCAGGCCAACCUGCUGCCCCUUAGAGCCCAGGCCAGACCCCACCGUUGGUGCCGGUCACGUGGCCAAGCCCCAUCCAGGGUCCCAGGCGCAUGUUCCCGCUUCAGUCAGAAAAACAGUCUCGUGGCAAAGGGCUUGGAUGCGGGACAGGGUGAAGAAUUGUGGCCAAGGACGCCAUCUGCCACCCCAGUCUAAGAAACUUGGACUUGGUCCCAGGACGAUAAGGAGCCGUCAGCAGGUGACACAUAAAAGGGCUGCGGGGGGUGGGGGGAGCGGGCAGUGAUGCGACGGCUGAUACGGUUCAUCAUCCAGGGGCCAGAUGACGGUGGCCUGACUCAGGCCAGGCCAGGGGGAGGGGAGAGAUGACAGAGAGACAUUUAGAAAGAGAACGUCUGGCCCCAGAGACCCUGGGCACCAAGACGGACGCCAGCUGGCGCCUAAGGGUGCAGCCCGGCUUCCAGCUGUGAAAGGUGGGGCAUGGAGAGCGGGAGACACAGGCACCAACAGCGGUAAGAGUGGGGGGGUUAGACGAAUCUACUAUGUCACCCCAACCUUGGAGGCUGGAUCUGUGAUCAAGACCGUGUGGGAGUGGCUCUCCAGAGCCCCCCUGCCCCAAGGGCACGGGGACAGUGACACCCCUCACGGACCUACAUCAUCAGCACCCCGAGAUCCCGCAGACACCUGGACCCGGCUGGCUGUGGGAGGGGUGGCUAUUGCCCCUCCUUGGCCCAGGCGCCCGGCCCUUUAGGGAAGGGAUGCAUCCAUGGGCUCCGAGCCUGUGCCCCUGCCUGGAGGCUGGGACAGCCUCCCAUAACAUGGCCCAGGCCUCUGCUCAUCUCAGCUGGUUGCCACGGCAACCCCAGCUGCGGGGUCCAGGCCUGUGCCUCUGCGUGGGAGGCCCAGGUGGGGCGGGCAGGACAUGCCACUGACAUCCUGACACCUGCCACUCUCCGGGUCCACUGUGAACACCUGCUCCUCUGCGGCACCCUCUGUCCCCCACCGCCCUGUCUGCCCUGCGUCCCUCACUCACACAGGUCACCUGAGCCGGACACCCUGGGGACCUCUGAAGCUGCUCCCCCAGCCCACACCCCUGUAAACAGACUCACACUCCUGGCACAGAGGGGGCCACGUGCCCCCAGGCCCCACCCUGAAGCGGGGAGUGCCCCACUGGUCCGCUGUCUGCAUGGGCCAUGGGACAUCUGGAUGACAUUGUCCUUUGUCCCUGACCACUGCAGCGAAGCCUCCAGGGCCCCUCCCCCCAGAGCCCAGGGUGCUCCCCGUGAGCCCUGCUCAGCCUCCCAACCACACAGGCCCUGAGCUGGGAAGGUGCUGGGUCACCUCAGCAGGAGGACCUCCCCGCCUUGAAGGGAGGGUACACAGGAGGAAUUCCACCCCCCCAAAGCCUCCCCCACACCCACCUUUCCAGCCCCUCCCAGGGACCCCCUCCAGGGACCCCCCCCCCAGAAAGGAAGACUCUCCCGCUCCUAUCUUGUUCCCACAGUCUGAGCGCUUCAGGGUCUGGCUGAGCUGGAGCCCCGGGUGUCCCCUGCCCUGGACCCCUCAGCACCGCCCCCACAGGGUCUAGGACACUCCCCAGCCCUGGGCCCCCUGUCUCAGCAUUGGGGUACACAAGUGUGCAUUGGCAGCUGAGAGCGGGCCUGUGAGCCAGAAGGCCCCUCCCUCCCUGCUCAGCUUGGCGCCCCCCGCCGGAGGCAGGGCCAGAAAACAGGGGUGCCCGGCCACCCCCCAGCUUCCACCAGGGGCCCUCACUGUGUGGGGACCAUAGGACAAGACCCUCCCUGCACUGAUGGAUUGGAGGGGUGUCAGGCCAAGUCCUAGGGGGAGCCACCAGCCACUGUUGACCAGGGGCUUCUUAGACCCCGGAAGCCCCAGAUCCACCCCCUCCCUCGAGAAGAAAGGAGUGGAAAGAGAGGAGGGAGAUGAAGGCAGAGGGGGUGACAUGCCUCCCCGGGCAGAUCUAGUGGCACAGAGCUGACAUGGGUGGCACCCCUCUUCCGACUGCUCCCUCCUGUCUCUCUCUCUCUCAUACACACACACACACACACACACACACACACACACGGCAGGGGACAUCACACUGAGCGCUGGGCCCCCUCUGCCAGGACUGCCUCACAGAGACGGGGAACAGUGCCCUUGGCCCCUGGCAGGGACAGGGCCACCCUGGCACCUCACAGAUGGAGGCGGCUCCUCUGUGUCCAGCAAGGUCAGAUGGCCUCUGCCACGGCCUCCCCACCCAGGGAGCGUCUCGCCAUCUGCACACACUCGGCUGCCAACUCUGCAGCCCUGGCUGGCGCUGGGCCUGCCCCAGCCCGGCCACACUGGCCUGUUUGCCCCAGCAGCCACCUUCUCCAGCGAGGGCUUGCUCCCUCCUGGGGCAAGGCCUACAGCCCUCCAUGGCUCCCCAGGUGACGAAGCCAGGGCCCCUGCAGGCCUGCAGAGUCUCUUCUGCUGGGCCUGGCCUGGCCUGGCUCUGCGCUCCCCCCCCCUACACCCCACAGCUUGUGUCCAGGCUCUGGAGAUACCCCGGGGUCCCCUUGCCUCUGGCCCGGCCACCUGCUGCCUGGCCCUUCUCUCAAGGUCUUGGAGACGAGAAAGAGGUUUGCAGCUCAGCACCCCAUCCCGACUCCACCACCACCCCCGCCCUGCCAACAAGGACAAGCCAGCCCACGUCGGCUCUCACCCAUGCAACGCACUCUACUCACGUGUGGGAUUCCUCCGCCCACAAGCACCUUCCAAGUACAGGAACUACAGCCAAGAGCAAAAGGCAGAAGCACCCGCACCGCCGGCGUCCCAGGAGCCGAGGGCCCAGCAGAGAUGAGACGGGAGAUGCCGCCUUUAAGGAGCCCCGAACCAAUGUGACCAGCGUCCUUAAAGGAAAGGAGACUAGGAGCCGGACACACACAGCAGGAAGCACGCGAGGCACCGAAGGCGGCCGUCUGCGCGCCAGGGAGGAGAGAGGAACCGACCUGCCCGCACCCUGAUCGCCGACAUCCAGCCCCCAGGGCCGUGAGAAAUGAGCAUCUGUAGGGCGUGCCACGGCGGCCCCGGCAGACCGCCGCUCUGUAGGGCAGCACCCGAGGGUCUGGUGGGCGCAGGCGUGGUGGUUGCCAUAGUUACUGAGCGCCCAGCGACGCCCAGCACGUCCCGCUUGGGCUCUGGGUAAAGUCUGCCGUCAGCGCAGUCACGGAGGCCCAGGCUGGCCAGCAGUGAGGGGCUGGCGAGCCGGGGGCCCCUGACUCCUGGGCACCGCCAUCCCCUCCUGGGGAACAGGGGAGCACCCAGCAGGGGGCGAUAGACAGGAGGCCCAGGACCUGCCACUUUACUCUGCAGAGCCCGGAUCCCAGACGCUGGCCGGCCCAGGAGCCCCCCACCCGAAUCUCCAAGUGCCCGGGAUGCCCGCCCUGUAGUGCCCUCCCAGCCCCCAACCUCACUGAAGGAGAGGGUGGGAAGCGGGCCUUCCCCGGCUGGGCCGUGACUGGCGACCGAUAAAGCUCUGCCCGCCCCCCACCCCCGCCAGAGCUCAGGGCCCGUGGGCGCCCGGAAUAUGAAUUCGCCGGUAGAGCUUCCUCCUGAGACGGUCAAGGGCUGUGUCCGAGCCAGACCCCGGAUGCGGCUUCGGGUGCAGCUUGCCAAGGUCUUGGGCAUGGCUGGAGCCUCCCCUGGGCUCCAGCUUGGCCUCUUGCGUGAUUUUACGGUUUACAUUUUGUAGAUGAGCAGACUGGGCCCCAAAAGGUGAGCAGCUUGCCUGGGGUCCCGCCUCCGAAGGGAUGGAGAGGAAUUUGAAUGCGGGGUCCUUGAUCUGCCAGCACCCCUCUUACCCACAGGUGCCCCACACGCCCCACGGGCUCCUUCUCCAAGGCUUUCCCUCUACUUGGAGUGCAGACAGGUCACCUCCUCCAGGAAGGCUUCCCGACUCCCCUCCCCCACGAGCCUGCUGGUGCACAGGCCCCCUCUCCAUGGCAGACACCCUGUCACUAGCUGACUCAACACAUUCUGGGCAGAACCGUGUCCCUCUCCGGGUUGUCUCUCUGUCCCCUGGGGCACGGCAGGGCUGGCACCUUGCUGCCCGGCCUGCUAGAUUUGUUUGUCUGAACAAUUUCCACCCUUGGGCAGUUAUGAGUAAGCUUGCGGUACCUUCAGCCAAGCUCUUUUCACUAGCUCUGUGUUUGUUUGGGCUGUUUUUGCCCUUUUAAAGUAAAAAUAGUUUAUUUUUAACA